Molecule: RNA transcript, 2927 nt
Organism: Vigna unguiculata (cowpea)
Lineage: Eukaryota; Viridiplantae; Streptophyta; Magnoliopsida; Fabales; Fabaceae
Gene name: putative glycerol-3-phosphate dehydrogenase [NAD(+)] 1, cytosolic
Source: RefSeq, a predicted model, not a curated record
CUAACGAUCCGCGUUUUCUUAAUCCCCUUCUCCCCUUCCCAGAGAAAGUGACACUCAAAAGCACGUUUUGAAUUCCACCUUUCCACGCAAAACCAAAUUGACAAGGCAUUGGUGUACUCGCCCACUUUGUUUCUUCUGUUAACUUCUCUUUCGAUUGGUUUACCAAACUGUUAGAUUUGAGGUUUCUUGCUUGUCUUUCUUUGUGCAUGUUUUGAAGAUAGAAGAGCUGGAAAGAAACUAGUUGUUGUUGCUCAUUGAGGGUUAUAUAAUCGCUUAAUCUUGCCAUUAUUGCGAGUUCGAUAUUCCUGAAUAUAUUGUAAGAUAGUUCUGUGUUUUUUACUGGAUGCUGUGAUUGGCGGGGUUGUUUGUUUUAGUUAUAAUUGGACGUUAAAGGUUCGAACUCGCAAUCUUGAAUGAGGUUUUUUACAAGGAUUUAGGGGGUUAUUAGAAAAUAGAGAGAUUUUGUUGGCAAAUCUGUCAGAAUUUGUGGGUUUAACCAUUGAGGUGUUUAUCGGUGUCAUAUUUGGAAGGAAGAUGGUUGGAAGCAUUACGAAUGCACAUUCAAAUUUUUCUCUUGUGAAUGUAAAUGGUGGUAGUUUAGAAGAAAAGGUUGAUGAGAUUCGUGAGCUUAUUGGGAAAGUGGAGGGUGAUCCAUUAAGAAUAGUUGGUGUUGGAGCUGGUGCUUGGGGCAGUGUAUUUAUUGCUAUGUUGCAGGAAGCUUAUGGUAGUUUGAGAGAAAAGGUUUUGAUAAGGAUAUGGAGAAGACCGGGAAGAGCUGUUGACAGGCCAACGGCUGAACAAUUGUUCAAGGUGAUCAAUUCAAGGGAGGAUGUACUGAGGAGGCUCAUUAGGAGGUGUGCGUAUUUGAAAUAUGUUGAGGCUAGGUUAGGUGAUAGAACACUUCAUGCGGAUGAGAUUUUGAAAGAUGGGUUUUGUUUGAAUAUGAUAGAUACCCCUCUUUGCCCUCUGAAGGUUGUGACAAACCUGCAGGAGGCUGUGUGGGAUGCUGAUAUUGUGAUUAAUGGCUUGCCAUCAACUGAAACUCUAGAGGUCUUUGAGGAAAUUAGUAAGUACUGGAAAGAGAGAAUCACUGCCCCUGUCAUUGUAUCCUUGGCGAAAGGUGUAGAGGCUGAAUUGGGCACUGAGCCUCGGAUUAUAACUCCCACUCUAAUGAUCAAUCGAGCAACUGGAGUACCCUUGGAGAACAUUCUUUAUCUUGGAGGACCCAACAUUGCCUCGGAAAUUUUCAACAAAGAAUAUGCUAAUGCUCGGAUAUGUGGGGCAGGAAAAUGGAGGAAACCGUUGGCAAAGUUUUUGAGGCAGCCUCAUUUUAUAGUGUGGGAUAAUGGUGAUCUUGUUACCCAUGAAAUCAUGGGUGGGUUAAAAAAUGUAUAUGCUAUUGGAGCUGGAAUGGUUGCUGCUUUAACAAAUGAAAGUGCCACCAGCAAGUCGGUAUACUUUGCUCACUGUACUUCAGAGAUGAUAUUUAUCACUCAUCUAUUGGCAGAAGAACCAGAGAAACUUGCAGGGCCACUUUUGGCUGAUACUUAUGUAACUUUGUUGAAAGGUCGUAAUGCAUGGUAUGGACAGAAGUUGGCCAAAGGGGAAUUGAAUCUUGAAAUGGGUGACAAUAUCAAGGGCAAGGGGAUGAUUCAGUUCACCAACAAGGAGGGAAGCCAACUAACUAUAGAUUGCAAAUGGGUGUUUACAAUUAGUUACUAAGCAGAAGGGUUCACGCACUCACAUAUGGCAUUGAUUACUCUGAGCCCUGUUGCUGAGCCAAACUCCGUUAGAGUUCUUUUAUCUCUUGCAGCCACUUUUGACUGGUCCCUAGGACAAUUAGAUGUCAAAAAUACCUUUCUCAAUGGAGAUUUAAUGAAAGAGUAUAUAUGGAAGCCCCUCCAGGAUACGGAGAGAAGUUUGGCACAAAAGUGUGCAAGCUGGUAAUGGGUUAAAACGGUCACCAGGGGCUUGGUUUGAGAAAUUCACCGAGUUUACUUCAAAGUCAUGGGUACGCACAACGCCAAGGUGAUCACACAAUGUUCUUCGAACAUUUACAAGAUAUCCAUAUUAACAGUAUAUGUGGCUGAUAAUAUAAUUCUUGUAGGAGAUCAUGUGUUUGAAAUGAACUGCAUGAAGACAUCAUGUCAAAAACAUUUGAAAACAAGGACCUAGGAUCCUUUAUGUAUUUCCUCGGUAUGGAGGUUACUCAUUUAAAACAGAGGAUUAUGGUGUCACAAAGAAGUAUGUUCUUGAUCUUCUUAAGGAAGCAAGAAUGAGUGAUGUGGACCAGUAGACACUCCAAAUGAUCCCAAUCAUAAGCUUUAUGAUAAGAAGGAAAGAUAUAUAGUUAUACAUUCAUCAUCUCAAAGGCAUCAUGAAGCAGUAUAUGAGAUCCUUAGAUACUUGAUAUUUACUCCAGGCAAGCGUUUAUUCUUUCAGAAGACUCCAUAACAGAAUAUAGAGGUAUAUACUCAUGCACAUUGGAUAGGCUUAGUAACUAAUAGGAGAUUCACUUCUGGAUAUUGUACAUAUGUUUGGGAAAAUCCGGUGCAAAAUAAGAAGCAAAAUGUUGUAGCAAGGAAUUUGUCAGAAGCAAGAAUAUAGAGCUUGGCUAGUGGGAUGUGUGAUAUGCUUUGCUGAAAAUAACUCUUCAAGAGUUUCGGAUGCCCAUAUACAAAUGUCAAGGAAGUCACACUUCAUCAAGCAGAAGAUUGGAGCUAUUUGGUUGUCAUUUGUUACCUCUAACAAACAAAUAUCAGGUGUUUUCACCAAAGUGCUUCCCAAGCCUAGUUUUGAAUAAUUUGUAAGCAAGUUGGACGUGUUAGACCUAUGCUCCGACUGGAGGGAGGUGUCGGAUUUUAGGGAGUUUCUGCUGUUAGGGCCUUCUAUGAGCUACUUAGUCACUCCAGCUUAAACGUCCUAAA